UCAAAUGACUCUCGGCAAUGGAUAUCUCGGCUCUUGCAUCGAUGAAGAACGUAGUGAAAUGUGAUACUUGGUGUGAAUUGCAGAAUCUCGUGAACCAUUGAGUCUUUGAACGCAAGUUGUGCCCGAGGCCUUGUGGCCGAGGGCACGCCUGCUUGGGCGUCAUGG
RNAcentral lists this ribosomal RNA (165 nucleotides) under Monolophus saxicola. Its description in RNAcentral is "5.8S ribosomal RNA". It matches the Rfam family "5.8S ribosomal RNA". Rfam says of the family: 5.8S ribosomal RNA (5.8S rRNA) is a component of the large subunit of the eukaryotic ribosome. It is transcribed by RNA polymerase I as part of the 45S precursor that also contains 18S and 28S rRNA. RNAcentral also lists the same sequence under 1 other name. Lineage: Eukaryota; Viridiplantae; Streptophyta; Magnoliopsida; Zingiberales; Zingiberaceae. The record is from RNAcentral.